This 1193-nucleotide ribosomal RNA is filed under the name uncultured Rozellomycota. Its description in RNAcentral is "SSU rRNA". It matches the Rfam family "Eukaryotic small subunit ribosomal RNA", at positions 455 to 1690 of the family's 1831-position model. Lineage: Eukaryota; Fungi; Rozellomycota. The record is from RNAcentral.
CACAGGGAGGUAGUGACAGUAAAUAACAAUGCAGGGCUCUUCGAGUCUUGCAGUUGGAAUGAGUACAAUUUAAACCCCUUAACGAGUAACAAUUGGAGGGCAAGUCUGGUGCCAGCAGCCGCGGUAAUUCCAGCUCCAAUAGCGUAUAUUAAAGUUGUUGCAGUUAAAAAGCUCGUAGUUGGACCUUAGGCAAGGCGGCCUGGUCACCCUCUGGGUGUACUGGGAUCGCUGCGCCUCACCUUCGGGGAGCUAGUCGUGCUUCGGUGCGCUAGGGAACCGAGCCUUACCUUGAGGAAAUUAGAGUGUUUAAAGCAGGCUUAUGCUUGAAUACGUUAGCAUGGAAUAACAUGAUAGGACUUUGGUUCUAUUUUGUUGGUUUGAGGACCAAAGUAAUGAUUAAUAGGGACAGUUGGGGGCAUUAGUAUUCAAUAGUCAGAGGUGAAAUUCUUGGAUUUACUGAAGACUAACUAAUGCGAAAGCAUUUGCCAAGGAUGUUUUCAUUAAUCAAGAACGAAAGUUAGGGGAUCGAAGACGAUUAGAUACCGUCGUAGUCUUAACCAUAAACUAUGCCGACUAGGGAUCGGUGGAUGUCGCUUUUGACUCCAUCGGCACCUUACGAGAAAUCAAAGUUUUUGGGUUCUGGGGGGAGUAUGGUCGCAAGGCUGAAACUUAAAGGAAUUGACGGAAGGGCACCACCAGGAGUGGAGCCUGCGGCUUAAUUUGACUCAACACGGAAAACUCACCAGGUCCGGACAUAGUAAGGAUUGACAGAUUGAGAGCUCUUUCUUGAUUCUAUGGGUGGUGGUGCAUGGCCGUUCUUAGUUGGUGGAGUGAUUUGUCUGGUUAAUUCCGAUAACGAACGAGACCUUAACCUGCUAAAUAGUGGCGCUAACCAUGUGUUGGCGUCUCACUUCUUAGAGGGACUGACUACGAUUAGUGGUCGGAAGUUUGAGGCAAUAACAGGUCUGUGAUGCCUUAGAUGUUCUGGGCUGCACGCGCGCUACACUGACAAAGUCAGCAAGUUUACAACCUUGACCGGAAGGUCUGGGCAAUCUUUUGAAACUUUGUCGUGCUGGGGAUAGACCAUUGCAAUUAUUGGUCUUCAACGAGGAAUUCCUAGUAAGCGCAAGUCAUCAGCUUGCGUUGAUUACGUCCCUGCCCUUUGUACACACCGCCCGUCGCUACUACCGAUU